AUACGUAGGGAGCGAGCGUUGUCCGGAAUUACUGGGCGUAAAGGGCGCGUAGGCGGCGCUUCAAGUCGUCUGUCAAAUGGGAGGGCUUAACCCUUUUUCGCAGACGAAACUGGAGAGCUUGAGAAGCAGAGAGGCAAACAGAAUUCCUGGUGUAGCGGUGAAAUGCGUAGAUAUCAGGAAGAACACCAGUGGCGAAGGCGCUUCACUAGCCCGAAACUGACGCUCAGUCACGAAAGCGUGGGUAGCAAAUAGGAUUAGAUACCCUAGUAGUCCACGCUGUAAACGAUGACAACUAAAUAUUGCCGCGAGGCAGUGUUGAAGCUAACGCAUUAAGUUGUCCGCCUGGGGAGUACGGUCGCAAGACUGAAACUUAAAGGAAUUGACGGGG
This 388-nucleotide ribosomal RNA is filed under the name uncultured bacterium. RNAcentral's name for it is "partial 16S ribosomal RNA". It matches the Rfam family "Bacterial small subunit ribosomal RNA", at positions 523 to 918 of the family's 1533-position model. The record is from RNAcentral.